UUUGACGGCGAUUUCUUAAAAUCUGUCUGCGAUUUACAAUCGGGGUUAAAAUCAUGCAGUCUGAACUUGGCAUAAGCAGAGUCUGGUCAGUACCUAGAUGGGAGACCACAUGAGAACACUAGGUUGCUGUCGAAA
Molecule: ribosomal RNA, 135 nt
Filed under: Danio rerio (zebrafish)
Lineage: Eukaryota; Metazoa; Chordata; Actinopteri; Cypriniformes; Danionidae
Source: RNAcentral